This 403-nucleotide ribosomal RNA is filed under the name Triticum aestivum (bread wheat). Its description in RNAcentral is "partial small subunit ribosomal RNA". The record is from RNAcentral. Lineage: Eukaryota; Viridiplantae; Streptophyta; Magnoliopsida; Poales; Poaceae.
AUCGAGUGAUCCUGGAUGCCAACGCCCAUAUCCUUUUCUAGUGUGUUCGAGGCUUCCAAUUGUUGAAUCGAUGGAGGCUGGCGCUGCGUUCUUCCAUCGGUUCUUCUUUCUUUGUAGUUCACGAUUGAUCAAUUCUUCGUGAGAUUCGUGUGAGCGCAUAUACAUACAGGAGAAAAACAAUUCAUUGUUAGAUUAUUAAUUGAUGAUUGCAAGAAGACAAGAUCAAUCAAUCAAUCUCCUGAUUAGUUUCUUUCCUUUUUGUACGAGGAACAUCUCGUCUCCGCCGUGAAUCGCGUGGUGGCCGAAACUCUAGUAGCCAACUUCUCCAGACUUGUCCAGUCAUCGUCUGCGGCAAUUGCAGAUCGCCGGAGUGGCCUCCUCUGGCCAUAGAGAGGCCUUGCCG